ACCAAAAGCCUAGCCCAACUAAAUAUGAAUUUUACUAACCAAUUUUUUUUCUUCUAAUAAACCAUUUUAAUGUUCUAGUAAAGGAGAUUGAAAAAUAUUUUGGAGCUAUAAAGUUAGUACCGCAAGGGAAUGGUGAAAUACACAAUGAAAUAUUUUUAAGUAACAAAAAGUAAAGAUAACUCCUUGUACCUUUUGCAUCAUGGUUUAACUAGUCUAAUCAAGCAAAACGUAUUUAAGUUUGACUUCCCGAAACUAAGUGAGCUACUUCGGAGCAGCUAAAAGAGCGAACCCGUCUCUGUAGCAAAAGAGUGGGAUGACCCCCAAGUAGCGGUGAUAGACCUAACGAACUUAGUGAUAGCUGGUUACUCAAAAAACGGAUAUAAGUCCAACCUGAAACAUUACAUCAGUCAACCAAAACACAGCUAAGUUUUCAGAGUAAUUCAAAUAAGGUACAGCCUAUUUGAAACAGGGUACAACCUAGAUUUAUGGAUAAAACAAGUCCUAAAAUAUAAUAAAGUGGGCCUAAAAGCAGCCAUCUUUAAAAUAGCGUCAAAGCUUAAUUAUAUAUUUACCUAAUUUCACUAAUUUCUUUAAAUCCUACACCAAUAUUGAGUAAUUCUAUAUAAAUAUAGAAAAUUUUAUGUUAAAACUAGUAACAAGAAGAAGACCUUCUCUUUAAUGUAAGUGUAAAUCAUAAAGGACAAACCAUUGAUAAUUAACAUGAAUGAACCUAAAGUAGAAACCUACCUAGAAAACUCUACUUUUAUUAAUGUUAACCUAACACAAGAACAUUUUAAGAAAGAUUAAAAGAAAAAGAAGGAACUCGGCAAAUAUUAACCUCGCCUGUUUACCAAAAACAUCGCCUCUUGAAUAGUAUAAGAGGUCCAGCCUGCCCAGUGACCAAGUUCAACGGCCGCGGUAUCCUAACCGUGCGAAGGUAGCGUAAUCACUUGUUCUUUAAAUGUGGACUAGUAUGAAUGGCAUCACGAAGGUUAUACUGUCUCCUUUUUUUAAUCAGUGAAACUAAUCUCCCCGUGAAGAAGCGGGAAUUAAUAUAUAAGACGAGAAGACCCUAUGGAGCUUUAAACAACACAGCACUUGCUUAAAAAUUAACAAUUUCAGAACUUUAAAUUCUCUGAGCAAUUUGACUGCAAGUUUUUGGUUGGGGUGACCGCGGAGUAAAAUAUAACCUCCAUGUUGAAAGAAUAUCAUUCUAAGCUAAGAGCUACUAUUCAAAGCAUCAACAUACUGACAUCCAUUGACCCAAUUUAUUUGACCAACGAACCAAGUUACCCUAGGGAUAACAGCGCAAUCCACUUCAAGAGCUCCUAUCGACAAGUGGGUUUACGACCUCGAUGUUGGAUCAGGGUAUCCCAGUGGUGC
Molecule: ribosomal RNA, 1383 nt
Filed under: Rhinella sternosignata (falcon toad)
Lineage: Eukaryota; Metazoa; Chordata; Amphibia; Anura; Bufonidae
Description: partial 16S ribosomal RNA
Rfam family: Bacterial large subunit ribosomal RNA
Source: RNAcentral